RNAcentral lists this ribosomal RNA (467 nucleotides) under uncultured bacterium. RNAcentral's name for it is "partial 16S ribosomal RNA". It matches the Rfam family "Bacterial small subunit ribosomal RNA", at positions 28 to 507 of the family's 1533-position model. The record is from RNAcentral.
GAUGAACGCUGGCGGCGUGCCUAACACAUGCAAGUCGAGCGAAAAGGCCACUUUCGGGGGCUACUCGAGUGGCGAACGGGUGAGUAACACGUGAGUAACCUGCCCAUCACUUUGGGAUAACUUCAGGAAACUGGGGCUAACACCGGACAGGAGCUCCUGCUGCAUGGUGGGGUCUGGAAAGUUUCGCGGGUUGGGGAUGGACUAGCGGCUUAUCAGCUUGUUGGUGGGGUAAUGGCUUACCAAGGCGUUGGCGGGUCGCCGGCCCGUGAGGGUGAGCGGCGAUACUGACUCCGACGGAAGGCCCCGACAGCUACUGGAGGGAGCUGUGGGAAAGAUUGAACGAUGGGUGGCAGCCUGAUGCAGAAACGCUGCGUGCGGGAUGACGGUCUUCGUGUUGUAAACCGAUUUCGCUCAUGACGAUGCUUUGUGUGACGGUAGUGGGUAAAGAAGCACCGGCUAACUACGUG